GAAAUGCGAUAGUUAAUGUGAAUUGCAGAAUUCAGUGAAUCAUCGAGUCUUUGAACGCACAUUGCGCCCCCUGGUAUUCCGGGGGGCAUGCCUGUCCGAGCGUCAUUGCUGCCCUCAAGCACGGCUUGUGUGUUGGGCUUCCGUCCCUGGCAACGGGGACGGGCCCAAAAGGCAGUGGCGGCACCAUGUCUGGUCCUCGAGCGUAUGGGGCUUUGUCACCCGCUCCCGUAGGUCCAGCUGGCAGCUAGCCUCGCAACCAAUCUUUUUAACCAGGUUGACCUCGGAUCAGGUAGGGAUACCCGCUGAACUUAAGC
This 314-nucleotide unclassified non-coding RNA is filed under the name plant metagenome. Its description in RNAcentral is "partial contains 5.8S ribosomal RNA, internal transcribed spacer 2, and large subunit ribosomal RNA". The stretch from base 1 to 105 matches the Rfam family "5.8S ribosomal RNA", at positions 50 to 154 of the family's 154-position model. The record is from RNAcentral.